CCUGAGCCUCCCACGGGGGCGGGGCCGCCGGCGGGGCUCGAGCGGGCCCCACGGUGCGGCCCCACCCGCCACGAGCACCGACAACACGCGCGCCAACAGGCGGAGAGCCAGCUUCAGAGUUAAAGACCACCCGAGAGCUGACAAACGUGUUGCCAAAAGGAAUGACGUAAAAAUAUUCGCACUGGGACUGCGUCGGGCCAAAAUUACUUCUAGUCAGCCGCGGCCCCACGUCCCAGGGCUGAACAAACCGGUCUGCGGCAACACGAGGCUUCCCGAGCAGAUCUCCUGGGAUUCACCGGCAGAAACGUCUCCAUCAGAGGAAGCCUGUGACAUCCGCCAGGAUAAAAUCAGAAGGACAGUGACAAGUGAUAGCAAGGACGUAGAGAAGCUGGAGUUCUCCUAAGUCCUUGGUAGGAGUGUAAAAUGGUGCAGCUUCUUGUAUAAUUCAACAUCCACCUAGCAUACUCCCAGGAACCCACCCAAGAGAAAUAUGAUCACAGAGCAUGCAGACAUUCACAGCAGCACUGUUCCCACCAACCAGAACGUCCAGCAACCGCGGGGGCAUAUGCAGCAUGGAAAUGGCCACGAAAAGAAAGAAACUGCUGAGACAUGAGCCUACGUGGAUGAACCUCAAAUACGCUAUGCUAGGUGAAAGAUGCCAGACAAGAACAUUCCGUGAUUCCAUUUAUGUGACACUUCUUAAAAAGGUCAAUCUCCAGAGAGAAAGCAAAUUCAUGUUUGCCGGGGGUUGAGAGUGGGAUCAGCUGCGAACAGGCACGAAGAAACUUUUUUGGGUGAUGAAAAAAUACAACUUCGGAUGUGGAACGUAUUUUAAAACUGGAUUGCAGUGAUAGUUGCCUAACUGUAUACAUUUAUUGAAAUCGUGGAACACUUACACUGAGUGGAUCUCAUGGUAUAUUAUUUAUACCUCAAGCCGUUUUUAAAAAGUAAUAGGAUACAAAGGGAGAGAGCCUGAUUCUGGCUGAAAAGAUUAGGGAAGGCCUAAGACAAUUAUCCAAAAUGGGAAAAUAAGGCAAAAACAGGAGUAGGGGGUAUCCUUUCGAUUCAUUCCUGGGCAAUUUCAGCAUGGCUGCCCAAAGAUUAAUCCUCUAGGAGACUGUCCCUGUGCUAUUUAUUACUCCAUUGGAGCCCAGAUACUGUGACGUUACAUAUUAACUUGUAGAUAAUGUCUAAAAGAAAAGAUAAUCCCAAAGAUUA
Non-coding RNA from Callithrix jacchus (white-tufted-ear marmoset), 1218 nucleotides. Lineage: Eukaryota; Metazoa; Chordata; Mammalia; Primates; Cebidae. The record is from RefSeq and is a predicted model, not a curated record.